This 257-nucleotide unclassified non-coding RNA is filed under the name uncultured fungus. RNAcentral describes it as "sequence contains ITS1". The stretch from base 1 to 101 matches the Rfam family "5.8S ribosomal RNA", at positions 50 to 154 of the family's 154-position model. Lineage: Eukaryota; Fungi. The record is from RNAcentral.
GAAAUGCGAUACGUAAUGUGAAUUGCAGAACUCAGUGAAUCAUCAAAUUUUUGAACGCAAAUUGCGCUAGUAGUAAUACUAGCACACUUGUUUGAGUGUUGUUUAAUAAAAAUACAUAUAAAAUAUGGAAAUUAGUAAUCUAUUUUAAUUGAUUAUUCAAAUAUUAAUAUAAUAUAAUUUUAACAACAUUAAAUAUAUAUAAUUCUUAAUAUCAUAUUAUCAACCUCAAAUCAAGUGAGACUACCCGCUGAAUUUAA